Macrobrachium nipponense is the source of this 3371-nucleotide long non-coding RNA. RefSeq lists it as uncharacterized. The transcript is spliced from 3 exons. The record is from RefSeq and is a predicted model, not a curated record. Lineage: Eukaryota; Metazoa; Arthropoda; Malacostraca; Decapoda; Palaemonidae.
CAUUAGAACUCCGUAGUGUUUAAAAUGUACCUUACGCAAACGUAUAAAAGCACACGAUGUUAAAUGAAACUUCUCUAGCGGCAACUUGUUGAUCCUCCAGCUUUGCUUCAGAUGAUCGUCACUGGGGAGGAGGGAAAAGAGGAGCCGGUGAAUAAAUGGCAGCUGUACAAUAUUUAGCUUUUACUGUCUCAUUUAUCUCCGUUCUGGUUGUCCGAAAGAUGAUAGACCGUAACCGGACCGUAACUUGAUUCCAAGACAUUUCAGUAUUAUGGCCAUGGAGGUUGGAAGAAGCAGAGAAUGAGGUAGAACAUGCUAGUACUCAAGAUACUCUUGAGUGACCAACCACAUAGAAAGAUGAAUUUAAGGUCUUGCAAAGAAGGGGACGGAGCAUAUGAUGUCAUUUACCUUUUGGAAGUCAUCUGGUUACAUGAUGCGCCAUCAUUAGUGGCCUUCAAGUCAUAAUGUGGAAAUAAUAGAGACGCAAAGAAACAUUUCUCCAAAAGAUUGGAAGCUUAAUUGCAGAAAAUCUGAUCGUCUUAUUUUAAAAAAGUACACGAUCAAGACCACGGAAUGUCUCAUCUAGACUUGUGCACUUUCCCUUAACGGAUUUAUCUUUAUUAAAAAUUGCAAUGGUCCGAGGUAACCGUUAUAGAAAUGAAAUGGCUGAGAAGAAGCUAAAGGGAACUGGUGAAGAGUAGAGAUAGAGAUAAGUGCAUGUGGGGCUGAAGGGAUACUAUAGGGAAUUUUUAAUACUAUUUCCAGGACUCGGAUAUGACCUCCUGCUGGGAUGUACUCCAAGUCAGUUGUAAGAUCGCCAGUACUGUGUUUCUCCCAUAAAUGGAAACUUGGAAUAAUUUGCAUGUGCAUAAUACUACAUAUCACCUUGUACUCUUUCCUUCUUGUGACUGAAAUGGUUACCAUUUGUGCUGUGUAUGCAUAUACUGAUGUUAUUCCAUUAAUACAUCUGUUCUAUUAGAUAUUCUAUCCUGGUGGUUAUUGGCCUUUCAAACUUUUUUUAAAUGUAUGAAGUGUUUUCCAGUUUCCAAUAGGCAUUUGUUCCCAUGCUUUCUGGUUGAUUCCUUAAUGAUUUAUCUCUUGAUGCAUUAUUAAUGUGCAGGAUUCUCUGAACCUCUUCAGUUGUUGCAUUCCGUAUUGCUUCCCCAACAUAUUCUGUAAGAAUUCUCUAGUUUUUACUUUUUCUCUUCCCAAAAGACUCGAACCAUUGCCUUUGCUGUACUACCUUGUCUCUGUCUUAUACUUUUUCCCUUUCACAUCGUAUUGUAGGGACUUCUUCUUUCACCCAUUUGGUGGAGGAUGAUGGGAACAAAUGUGGAGGUUACUAAAUAAAAAUCUGACUAUCCUUAACCUACUUUAUUAACUUAACCUACAGAAUUGUAACAACCUAGAUUAUCACUCUUAAUACUGCAACAACCAUCAAAAAGAAUCUCCCUGAAAUACAUCAACCUAAAUCUAACACGGACAACAAAAGGUACCCUAACCUAAUUCAUCAACCUAAUUAUACAAUGGCUACCAAAAAGAACCUUAAACCUAAUUCCAGAACACUAAUCUAACUCGUCAACUUUAGGUUACAACGCCCUCUAAAAUGAACCUUGACCCAAUUCAUCAAUGUCAAUAUGUACUACAGUUUUUCCCCAACUGUGGUCUUUGAGACUUCCUCAGAUUGGGAGUUAUCAUUUCGUAGUUAUCCUUCUUCCUACUAGAUCAACACCUAGUUUUGAUCUUUUUCAACUGCUGUCAAACUUUCUUUGCUGCGUGUGAAGAUCAGCACCUUUUAGGAUUCAGUGGUGCAUAUGGAGGAACGGGAGAAGGGCAGCCUGAUAAAGUAUUUUUUUUUUCUGCAAUCUGGCAGCUUUGCAUUCUCUCCCUAUGGUCUUUAUCACUUCUCUCCCUUAUCCCUCUUCUAAUUGUCGUUUACUUUGUAGUAAUUGUUUCACUAUCGUUUCAUUGUCCCUUUCGCAAUGUUCUAAUCCUUUGUCCUCCAAAGGAAAAUCUCUGUUCUUACGCUUGUGCUUCUUUGAUUUUUUCCUCCACAGUUUAAGUGAAGUAGAGCUCCUCAAUCUACCCUACCACACUCAAGCAAACCCAGUAAAAAAGAAAGAAAAAGAAGGAUUAAUCAAACAAUUAUACAUACUACAGACAUAGAUAAAUAUAAUAAAAAACAAAAUUCAAUCAAAAACCCAUUUUCCAUACUACUACUACCACAUCUUGGUAUCCUUCUCUUCUCCUCACAGGCUUCGCUAUCCUCUUCUGCUUCUUUUUAAAGAUUUUAAGUCUGUUCCUCUGAAACUAAGCGUUUAUUAGAGAAUGCACAAAGUUGCUCAGGUCAUGAGUUCCUAUGAUGUUUUGUUCCUCCUUGGUUGGCAGCAGGCUCUGUUUUUCUUAAAUUUUGAGACCCCUUUAGCAGGCCACCAAUUAGUACAUAGCAACUUGCCUGGCUUAGUGUACUAAGUAGUACUAAAGGUUCUCUUCAGUUUCCCUUCGGCCUCAAGUACAUUGCUAUCUGCCUUUUACUUUUCAAAUUGGCCUUGUUUGAUUUAAAAUUUUCAUUUUUUUUUAUAUUUACCAUACUGAAGUCUAUUAUGUUUUAUGAAAAUGUUAAUUAUAAUGUUGAAUUGAAAAUUCGAGUUAUAUCCCUUGUGUCCAGAAAUAGUCAAAUUCUCUGCAUUUACAUUAAUGAAAGAACAGCAGUUCAUUGACAGAAUCUAAAUUUUGCAGUUAAAAACAAACCAUUCAAGUCAGCCUUAGGAGAGUCAGGUGUUUUGUCUCAUUAGUUGGCCUAAUCUACCUCAUGUUGUAAUAAUCUUCCUCAGGAUUUAGUAUUCUACCUGAAGUUGUAAAUAAUGUACCUCAGGUUGUAAUCAUUUGGAAAUGUAGCCUCAGGCAAACCUGUGUAAUUCUAGCUAGGUGACUUUGUGGUUGUUAAAAUCUGGACAUCAGAAUGAUUACAGUGCCUGAUUUUAUAUUUUAUUGAUGGAAUCAUUUCUGUGUUUGAUUUUUGAGUAAUUUCAUUUUUAAGAGUACAUUUUUAUUUUAGUAUUUUCAUUUGCAUAAGUUUUUUGCAUUUUUUAGCACUUCUGUUAUACCUUUUCUUGUUUAGUCCAAGGAAUACAAUUAAUGGUAUAGUUUUAUUUUUCAUUACUUAAUUACAAUUAAAAAUAGUGGCCAUGACUAAUGAUUACUCAGUUAAGAAGAAAUGUAGUGCAUUUUUUUACAUAUUAAAUGUUUAAUUUUUUGUGGUGAUUUGUGUACAUAGUUUUAUAGUACUGUAUAUUUUGAGAUUUCAGUGGUCAAGGGUGGUAAUGUGUCAAUGAUCAUUGUUUUUUGAAGGCUGUUAUCAACUGCCAAGAAUG